UACGGAGGAUGUAAGGGUUAUCCGGCAUUAUUGGGCGUAAAGCGGCCGCAGGUGGUCUUCCAAGUCUGCUGUCAAAGACCGGAGCACAACUCUGGGCAGGCGGUGGAAACUGGAAAACUAGCGUACGGUAGGGGUAGAGGGAAGUACCAGUGUAGCGGUGAGAAGCGUAGAGCUUGCGAAGACCUCCAGUGGCGUAGGCGCUCUGCUGGACCGUAACUGACGCUCAGGGACGAAAGCUAGGGGAGCUAAAGGG
This 253-nucleotide ribosomal RNA is filed under the name uncultured bacterium. RNAcentral's name for it is "partial 16S ribosomal RNA". It matches the Rfam family "Bacterial small subunit ribosomal RNA", at positions 524 to 776 of the family's 1533-position model. The record is from RNAcentral.